CGCCUCUUGACAAACAUAAGAGGUCCUGCCUGCCCAGUGAUAAAUUCAACGGCCGCGGUACCCUAACCGUGCGAAGGUAGCAUAAUCACUUGUUCUUUAAAUAGGGACUCGUAUCAACGGCAUCACGAGGGUUGCACUGUCUCCCCCCUCUAAUCAGUGAAACUGAUCUCCCCGUGAAAAAGCGGGGAUAAUAUUAUAAGACGAGAAGACCCCAUGGAGCUUUAAACCCAAUAGCAAUUUAGCAAGCAAACCAUGCUAGCGGCUUUAGGUUGGGGCGACCACGGAGUAAAAACUAACCUCCAUAACGAAAAGAUUUAAAUCUUUACCCAAGAGCCACCACUCUAGGAAUUAGUAAACUAACGGACUAUGACCCGAUAACGAUCAAUGAACCAAGUUACCCUGGGGAUAACAGCGCAAUCUACUUCAAGAGCCCAUAUCGACAAGUAGGCUUACGACCUCGAUGUUGGAUCAGGGUAUCCUAGUGGUGCAGCCGCUACUAAAGGUUCGUUUGUUCAACGAUUAAAACCCU
This 529-nucleotide ribosomal RNA is filed under the name Raorchestes aff. ochlandrae CESF326. RNAcentral describes it as "partial 16S ribosomal RNA". It matches the Rfam family "Bacterial large subunit ribosomal RNA", at positions 1817 to 2597 of the family's 2925-position model. Lineage: Eukaryota; Metazoa; Chordata; Amphibia; Anura; Rhacophoridae. The record is from RNAcentral. RNAcentral also lists the same sequence under 1 other name.